UCCCCAGUAUUACCAAAGAAAAGUCGAGUCAGUGUUGUACGGCAGGAAGCUGAGGAUCUCUCUCUGUCAGCUCCAUCUUCACCAGAAAUUUCACCUCAGUCAUCCCCUCGGCCCCAUAGGCCGAACAAUGACCGGCUGUCUAUUCUUACCAAGCUGGUUAAAAAAGGCGAGAAGAAAGGACUGUUUGUGGAGAAAAUGCCUGCUCGAAUAUACCAGGUAAGAACCAUAUAAAAAAUUCUAAGGGGGAAUAUCCACGUGGACAUCAAAAUGUAUCUAGUAGGUCCAGAAGUACUCCUGCUGGAUUAGUCGUACCACUGGUGCUACAUCGUCUUACACACUUGUCUCAUGAACCUUUUAUGCCACGCCACAGAGGGGGCCAUAGAGCUAGAGCCAUGGAGUGCUAAGAACACAAGUAUGAAUACACACUCAGGAUUGGCAGGCACAAUCACUGACCUGCUCUGUGAGUGUAAAAUGUCACAAACAGAGUUGUGGGGAGUGGGCAGUAAAGAAAUCGUGUUGCUGAAAUAAACUUAUUUUGUCUGGAGAGAAAAACAAGUUAAGGUUCAUAACCUUUGAGUGGGACUAAUAAAACAAUC
This 596-nucleotide small RNA is filed under the name Pan troglodytes (chimpanzee). Its description in RNAcentral is "retained intron". Lineage: Eukaryota; Metazoa; Chordata; Mammalia; Primates; Hominidae. The record is from RNAcentral.